Anolis carolinensis (green anole) is the source of this 104-nucleotide small nuclear RNA. The record is from Ensembl. NCBI's taxonomy places the organism in Eukaryota, Metazoa, Chordata, Lepidosauria, Squamata, Anolidae.
UAUUCAUAUAAUCCAGUACAAAACUCACUUCGGCGAUACAGAGAAGAUUAGUAUGGCCCCUGCACAAGGAUGACAUGCAUAUCCUUGAAGCGUUCCAUAUUUUU